RNAcentral lists this unclassified non-coding RNA (280 nucleotides) under fungal sp. Its description in RNAcentral is "partial internal transcribed spacer region". The stretch from base 1 to 46 matches the Rfam family "Eukaryotic small subunit ribosomal RNA", at positions 1786 to 1831 of the family's 1831-position model. The record is from RNAcentral. Lineage: Eukaryota; Fungi.
AAGUCGUAACAAGGUUUCCGUAGGUGAACCUGCGGAAGGAUCAUUAACACGUAUCCAAACGUUAAACCCCCCUGUGAACCUGUGCUCGUACGUCCGUUAGAAACUGGUAAAUCAUCGCCGAACAGUUUUCGAUUCAGGGACGUCUGCAAGGAGCGUGCAUGUUGCGCGAAGUAAGUGGCCUGGCAUCCCCAAGCACUUAAUGUCUGAAAGUGUCAUUAAACUGUGUCAGGAUGACGCAGUCACGAUCGUUGGAGGCCCACACGGCCUUAUCUUGGUUCUC